UGGGGAAUUUUGCGCAAUGGGCGAAAGCCUGACGCAGCGACGCCGCGUGAGGGAUGAAGGUCCUAGGAUUGUAAACCUCUGUCAGGAAGCAUUAAAUGCACGGGUAUCAACACCAUCCGUGCUUGACUUAACUUCCAGAGGAAGCCCCGGCUAACUACGUGCCAGCAGCCGCGGUAAUACGUAGGGGGCAAGCGUUACUCGGAUUUAUUGGGCGUAAAGAGAAUUAAGGCGGUCAUGUAAGUCAGUGGUGAAAUCCCCCGGCUCAACUGGGGAAUUGCCUUUGAUACUGCGUGACUUGAGGACAGGAGAGGAAGGCGGAAUUCCCGGUGUAGCGGUGGAAUGCGUAGAUAUCGGGAGGAACACCUGAGGCGAAGGCGGCUUUCUGGACUGGUCCUGACGCUGAUAUUCGAAAGCUAGGGGAGCAAACAGG
Molecule: ribosomal RNA, 430 nt
Filed under: uncultured bacterium
Lineage: Bacteria
Description: bacterial SSU rRNA
Rfam family: Bacterial small subunit ribosomal RNA
Source: RNAcentral